UUUCAUCAUCAAAAUAGGAGAUUCAACAGGUACUUGGAGAUUGCCUCUGCAUGCUCCACCUCCUCGGCCCCUUUCACGACCAAGCGCUCUCCCUCCAUGAGAGCAAGGGAUCAAUGACUUUCACAGAAGUCCCACCUCUACAGUACCAUGGCAUUGCCAUGCCCAUGGCCCUACUAUCCGUCGCCUCGCAUCUGUAUCCCUUUUCUUCAUGAUCAGUAGAU
RNAcentral lists this long non-coding RNA (221 nucleotides) under Musa acuminata (dwarf banana). Its description in RNAcentral is "long non-coding RNA (MACU_LNC003384)". The record is from RNAcentral. Lineage: Eukaryota; Viridiplantae; Streptophyta; Magnoliopsida; Zingiberales; Musaceae.